Long non-coding RNA from Cyprinus carpio (common carp), 669 nucleotides. RefSeq lists it as uncharacterized. NCBI's taxonomy places the organism in Eukaryota, Metazoa, Chordata, Actinopteri, Cypriniformes, Cyprinidae. The record is from RefSeq and is a predicted model, not a curated record.
UAGACUUCCUCUUUAUUUCUUUGUGUGAUUUUUAUGUAUGCUAAAGACCAAGGGCUUUUUCUCUCAUUUCUGAUCUGUCUUUUAUCGGUUAAAAUGCCCUUAAAAGGAAUUGAUUCGAGUCCGUCUUCGAACGAAACUCGCUGUAGUCCAAUAGGCGUGCAUUCGUGCUUCUUCAAGACAGCGACUGCAGGGCCUCUUCCUGUGGUUUGCACCAUGUGGCCUAAAAAGUGUUAAAAGGCGACAACUUCUUUCUCUUUUCGCUGUUGUUUCCGGGAUCAAGCAGGCGGAGAACUGGUUUAACAAAAAGCUGUAAAAUGAACAUUCGGAGCACAUGGAGAUAAGAGGAAGCGUGCAAAGAAAGGAUUGGAGCGCGAAGAGAAGAGGCGGGAACAUCAGUGCAGUCACUCAUAAAGUAGACAGCACUACUAAAGGUCUCUACACAGUGUAGUGUUUCCUACUUUAUGGAUGAGUGUACUGUUUGCUGCGAAGGAUGAUCUUAUGGAGAACCAAAUGAUGCUGGAUCUGAAUGCCUUGUUUAUUAAUUAUGAAUAAAGAUGGUGUUUCAAGACUGAUUGUAAUGCAAUAAUGUUUUUAAGUGCAUUUGUCUUUAUAUGUGCAUGUCAACUUUGAAUUCAUGAAACAGUAAUAAAAUGAAGCUGAACUGCGUAA